RNAcentral lists this ribosomal RNA (700 nucleotides) under Pseudoperonospora cubensis. RNAcentral's name for it is "LSU rRNA". It matches the Rfam family "Eukaryotic large subunit ribosomal RNA", at positions 442 to 1095 of the family's 3401-position model. Lineage: Eukaryota; Oomycota; Peronosporomycetes; Peronosporales; Peronosporaceae. The record is from RNAcentral.
CGAGGAGGUAGGGCUUACGCUUGCGUUUGUCUGUUAUAUCUUGGUGGACGAGUUGUCGCGGUUGGGACUGAGGUGCCUACAACGUGCUUUUGAGUGAGUUUGUGUCUCCGUGUGCGCCGUGUGUGGAUAGCUUGCUAUGUAUGUGCGGUUGUGUGUGGAUUGAUGCGGGCUUUAACUUGUCGCCGUUCGGGACGUUGGCGAAAUGGAGCGAUCCGACCCGUCUUGAAACACGGACCAAGGAGUCUAACAUGUGUGCAAGUGUUAGGGUGUGGAAACCCCAGCGCGAAAUGAAAGUGAAGGGCAGCGCAAGUUGUCUGAGGUAGGAAACGUUGUGGACUUCGGUCUGCGGCGUGGCACUAUCGACCGAUCAUGAACCUUCGUGGUGAAAGAUUUGAGUUUGAGCACAUAUGUUGGUACCCGAAAGAUGGUGAACUAUGCCUGAGUAGGGUGAAGCCAGGGGAAACUCUGGUGGAAGCUCGUAGCGAUUCUGACGUGCAAAUCGAUCGUCAAACUUGGGUAUAGGGGCGAAAGACUAAUCGAACCAUCUAGUAGCUGGUUCCCUCCGAAAUUUCCCUCAGGAUAGCAGCAACUUAUUUACGAUAGUUUUAUGAGGUAAAGCGAAUGAUUAGAGGAUUCGGGGAAGAAACUUCCUCGACCUAUUCUCAAACUUUAAAUCUGUAAGACCUGCAGGUUUCUUAAU